Mugil cephalus (flathead mullet) is the source of this 1008-nucleotide long non-coding RNA. RefSeq lists it as uncharacterized. NCBI's taxonomy places the organism in Eukaryota, Metazoa, Chordata, Actinopteri, Mugiliformes, Mugilidae. The record is from RefSeq and is a predicted model, not a curated record. The transcript is spliced from 3 exons.
GCAGGACCGAGAGUCAGAGAGAAAACAGGAUCCUCCGAGGCUCCGUCUAACAAAGAGCAGAGGACGACAACAAACACCGAGGAGCAAACAGACCGGACUCCUUCUCCCCCCCAUCAGGGAACCCCCCCACCUCCACCUCCUCCACCUCCUCCUCUUCAUCAUCACUGAGUCCGGCCGAGUUUGAGGAAGGAGCAAAAACAACACGAGCUCUCACAGCCGGACGCUUUAGCUGCAGCGUCGCCCUCAUCCCCUCAGCGCUCGGAGAAACCGGGGUCACAUCCUGGUGCCUGAGCCGGGAUGGACGCCAGAGAGGAGACGAUGAGCCUCCUCAGCGGGAUAUGGGCCAAGCUGAAAGCUCUUCCUGAAGCUCAUCCUGCAGAGCUGGGAGGCUUCUUCAUCCUCAUCACCUUCAUCCUCAUGAUCGUCCUCAUGGUGGCGCUGACGUGCAUGACCUGCUGCUGCUGCUGCUGCUGCAGACGAAAGACCAAAGAGACGAGCUCCGACAUUUGAGACUCGGACGUCUGCAGCACAGACGAGUUUUUCCUCCUGGGGAGGUUUUAAAAACGUACGUAUGUGUGUGUGUUAGGAGGCGAGGACUUUGAACCAUAAAGUCAAACACGGAGCAGGAGGAGGAGGAGGAGGAGGAGGAGGAGGAGGAGGAGGAGAACCUGCUGCCAGGAUUUCAGGUGAAUCCACAUUCCUCAGAGAAUCACUGCACCUGAACCUUCCUGAGAGGAGAUCGAACUUCAAGCUGCCUCAAAUAAAACAGGCGAAACUUUAAGACGGACAAACGUGGUUCUUUGUGUCACUACUAAAGAGUUAAAAGUUGUUUUCAAACCUGAGAGUGACUCAUAACGUAAAGAGGGAGAAAGUCUGCCCUCUGCUGCACAGGAACGGAAAAGCAACUAUGAUCUAUAAAUAAAUAUAUAUAAAUAUAUAUAUACAGUCAUGUAAGCUACCGGUUUGUGUUUACAUCUAAAAAAUAAUAAUAAAAAUGAUAAAAAUCCA